RNAcentral lists this ribosomal RNA (512 nucleotides) under uncultured bacterium. RNAcentral describes it as "bacterial SSU rRNA". It matches the Rfam family "Bacterial small subunit ribosomal RNA", at positions 33 to 518 of the family's 1533-position model. The record is from RNAcentral.
ACGCUGGCGGCGUGCCUAAUACAUGCAAGUCGAACGGUCUUUCUAUGGAAGCUUGCUUCCACUGAGAAGAUAGUGGCGAACGGGUGCGUAACACGUGGGUAACCUGCCCAUAAGAGGGGGAUAACAUCCGGAAACGGGUGCUAAUACCGCAUAGUUUUCUUGAUUGCAUGAUUGAGAAAGGAAAGACGGCCUUUGUGCUGUCGCUUAUGGAUGGACCCGCGGCGUAUUAGUUAGUUGGUGAGGUAACGGCUCACCAAGACGAUGAUACGUAGCCGACCUGAGAGGGUGAUCGGCCACAUUGGGACUGAGACACGGCCCAAACUCCUACGGGAGGCAGCAGUAGGGAAUCUUCCGCAAUGGACGAAAGUCUGACGGAGCAACGCCGCGUGAGUGAAGAAAGGUUUUCGGAUCGUAAAACUCUGUUGUCAGAGAAGAACAAGUUGGAGAGUAACUGCUCCAGCCUUGACGGUAUCUGACCAGAAAGCCACGGCUAACUACGUGCCAGCCGCUGC